AGUGAGCGCUGGCGGUAGGCCUAACACAUGCAAGUCGAACGGCAGCACAGUAAGAGCUUGCUCUUACGGGUGGCGAGUGGCGGACGGGUGAGGAAUACAUCGGAAUCUACUUUUUCGUGGGGGAUAACGUAGGGAAACUUACGCUAAUACCGCAUACGACCUACGGGUGAAAGCAGGGGAUCUUCGGACCUUGCGCGAUUGAAUGAGCCGAUGUCGGAUUAGCUAGUUGGCGGGGUAAAGGCCCACCCAGGCGACGAUCCGUAGCUGGUCUGAGAGGAUGAUCAGCCACACUGGAACUGAGACACGGUCCGGACUCCUACGGGAGGCAGCAGUGGGGAAUAUUGGACAAUGGGCGCAAGCCUGAUCCAGCCAUACCGCGUGGGUGAAGAAGGCCUUCGGGUUGUAAAGCCCCUUUGUUGGGAAAGAAAAGCAGCAGGUUAAUACCCCGCUGUUCUGACGGUACCCAAAGAAUAAGCACCGGCUAACUUCGUG
This 492-nucleotide ribosomal RNA is filed under the name uncultured bacterium. RNAcentral describes it as "partial 16S ribosomal RNA". It matches the Rfam family "Bacterial small subunit ribosomal RNA", at positions 29 to 507 of the family's 1533-position model. The record is from RNAcentral.